UAAUUUUUAAUUUCGGUCAUAUCUUUGGUAUUUUCUGUGAACGUUUGUAAUUUCGGACAUUAUAUGUAACAAUCCUACUAUUCAUUCCACAAUGAAGGCCAGUGGGCCUAGAUUUUUAAUUUGAUACACGUAUAAACUUAACACUGCGCAAGUUACGUCACGGAAUGCAGUAUAGGGGAGGAGAAAAUAUUUGGCUGGACCAGGAGUCGAACCUAGGAUCCCUGCAUUACUAGUCAGGUGCUCUAACCACUAAGCUAUCCAGGUCGAUAUCCAUGGUCCGUGUAGCCCUAACUACUAAAUUCCUCCCUUUAAUUUGUUUUUGCCGUCGAAGACACACAACCCAGAUUCAUUUCACCCCUGGCAGGACGAGUAGUCACGGCACCAACUGGUAAAAUCUUGCACAGAGGUCCCUAGGUUCAAUUCCCGAUCCAGCCACAAAUUUUCUCCGUGUAUGUCUAUCUGAGACUGAGUUGGAAAAUUACGGUAUCUUCAUAGUGACAAACUAAUGAAAAUAUUGAUCAAAUUCGACUGGUCAAGGACUGUUAAUAUAAAUAAAUUUGAAACAUUGGUCAUUGUAAUGAUUGGUUUCAUGUUAUACUAAGCUUGUGUUUCAAGACAAGGCUGUCUUUGUUGGUGAUGAUACUGAUGUAUAUAUUUAGAAACAAGUAAUGCUUUGAUUUUGAUUACAGGUGUGGUCUUUAAAAAAAUUAAUGCAUGGCAAGGUUGAUAGUGAGACUAAUAAAUUCUUUCAGCAGAAUUCAGCUAGACACAAAAAAAAAAGACAAUCACUACAGCCUUCCAAGAAGAUGGACUGCCUCACAAUAGUUUCCUUGAGGACUGUCUUGAAAUAUCCAGAGUUUAAGAUUCAAGAAACGGACUCUAUCUGGAAAAGGAAAACAAUAUCAAAGCUCCUCUGUGAGAAGUUGGCCAAGGAAAGCAUUCAGAAGAAAGUGGAGAUUCAUUGUUUUUACCAGAUCCAGCAGAUCACAGAAAGCAUCUAGUAGGGGAGGUUCACUUAAUAGGAAAACCUUGUUCGAGAAAAUUACAGAUUCUUGAACUGAGUAUUUUGAGGAAACAUUACAUAGAAAGUACAUGAUUUGUCAAAUUUCUCCCAAUAUUCAACUGAGAACCUUAUUCUGCAGAGUAUUUGUAUGGGUAUGGAAAAUGUGUAUGUGGCUAUGAUUUUGAUUUUUGUUUAAAUUUUUGUUGUUGAAAAUUACAGGUUUAACCGAGUCAGUUUUUGAGGAAAUAUACAUGUAUUAAAUAAAUGACGGUUUGACCUUUUAAUUCCUCUCACAGUUUUGAAGCUAGGGUCAUUGUAAAUAACUUCUUUGGUGUUUUAGAAUAUUUACAGAUUGUUGAUCAUGGUCAAUUUUGGGGAAAUAUUUUCCGCAGAGCUCUAGUUGUCUAUCUACCGGCCUCCUGUCACUUUUAAGUUUAGGAGCUUUUAUUCAUGGAAAGAAAGUAUGUGACAACCUGAUGAUGGCUGAUACUAUUUAAAGCCUUUUUAUACGCCCGUCUUAAGAUGGGACGUAUUAUGGUAUGGCGUUCAUGUCCGUCCGUCUGUUAGCUUUUUCGUGUCCGACCCGUAACUUAAAUACUACAAGGCCUAGAAUCAUCAAACUUUGUCUGUAGAUACAUCUUGGGUAGAAGGUGUGUCACACAUUAAAACCAGGUCACUGUGACUUUUCAUUAAGAAGAUAUCCGUCUGUCCGUCCGUCUGUUAGCUUUUUCGUGUCCGACCCGUAACUUAAAUACUACAAGGCCUAGAAUCAUCAAACUUUGUCUGUAGAUACAUCUUGGGUAGAAGGUGUGUCGCACAUUAAAACCAGGUCACUGUGACUUUUCAUUAGGAAGAUAUGGCCAUAUAUGGCAAAAACUUGUCCGACUCAUAACUUGAAAACUAUUAGACCUAGAAUCACCAAAAUUGGUCAACUAAUGCAUCUUAGGUAGAAGGUGUGUCGCAUCCUACUUUAAGGUCACUGUGACAUUUAAUUAAGGUGAUAUAAAAAAAUGUUUUAAUGGGUACAAUCUAUACUGUUAACAAUAUGUGACGGGCAUAUCAUGUGCCGUGGCGGUGCACUUUAUUCUAGAAAUGGCAUCAGAAAAACACCCUAUGUAACCUUUUCUGCUUGUACUCAUUUAUUUUUAUUGGAAAACUUAUUACUUGUUAUCAGCUACUCUAAAACAAUAUUGACUUGUGCUAUAAUAAAUUUGUAAACUUUA
Long non-coding RNA from Ostrea edulis (European flat oyster), 2226 nucleotides. RefSeq lists it as uncharacterized. The record is from RefSeq and is a predicted model, not a curated record. NCBI's taxonomy places the organism in Eukaryota, Metazoa, Mollusca, Bivalvia, Ostreida, Ostreidae. The transcript is spliced from 3 exons.